This 519-nucleotide small RNA is filed under the name Malus domestica (apple). Its description in RNAcentral is "sRNA MD06G0044000". The record is from RNAcentral. Lineage: Eukaryota; Viridiplantae; Streptophyta; Magnoliopsida; Rosales; Rosaceae.
UCCACGAAACUCGAAAAAAAAAUGAAGUGAUUUGGACGUCGGGAAGUUGAGUUUCGACAAGUUGCAGGUUUAGCCGGAUUAUCGAGGGAUUUUCCGGCGAGUUCCGUCAGUUUUAGGGCUUUUGAAAGAAACCGGUAACGCAGACGUCACCGGCACUGGACUUUGGCGAGCUGAGGAAGACGAAUGAGCAUAUUCUGUCAAAUCUGAUGGAAUAUUCUAACGGAAAAGGAUUCCUUGCGCGUGGAUCCUAGUGGUACCAGGGGGACAACCACAGCAGGUAGAGAUUGCUGCUAGCAGUGCAUGAUCUUCGAGACAAUCGGGUCAGCCAAGACAAGGACAAGGUAUUCAUGCUAAUAGAGGUCGUGGUGGACGACAACAAAAUCAGGGAUGUAUCCACAAUAUGACUCAGCAGGAUGCUCAGAACAAUCCUGAUUUAAUCAUGGGUUUUAAGUAAGCUGCUGUUGGUGGCUCGAGGAUGUCGGCUGUUCUGACUUAUCUAAAUAAUAGUAGGACAUUCCU